UCAACUUUUUACCUGGCAGAAUAUCGUCGGCUUCGCCGUCAUUGCCAUUAUCUAUCUGGCCGGCGUACUGCUGACCUGGCGUCGCGCCCGACAAUUUGUCGCGGCUGAGAAAGCCACGGCGCUACAGAACACUAACUGGAGGACCGAACCGACUAAUGUUGAAAAAUUAGCGGAUGACCUGUGGCUGGGGGUGAAAGGCCAAUCAAACCGGGAGAUAGCUGGUUCUCCCCGAAAGCUAUUUAGGUAGCGCCUCG
This 254-nucleotide ribosomal RNA is filed under the name Salmonella enterica subsp. enterica serovar Kentucky. RNAcentral describes it as "partial 23S ribosomal RNA". It matches the Rfam family "Bacterial large subunit ribosomal RNA", at positions 726 to 884 of the family's 2925-position model. Lineage: Bacteria; Pseudomonadati; Pseudomonadota; Gammaproteobacteria; Enterobacterales; Enterobacteriaceae. The record is from RNAcentral.